This 61-nucleotide transfer-messenger RNA is filed under the name Campylobacter coli. RNAcentral's name for it is "partial transfer-messenger RNA". It matches the Rfam family "transfer-messenger RNA", at positions 313 to 374 of the family's 374-position model. From Rfam's summary of the family: Bacterial tmRNA, also known as 10Sa RNA or SsrA, is named for its dual tRNA and mRNA-like properties. Its role is to liberate the mRNA from a stalled ribosome. To accomplish this part of the tmRNA is used as a reading frame that ends in a translation stop signal. The record is from RNAcentral. Lineage: Bacteria; Pseudomonadati; Campylobacterota; Epsilonproteobacteria; Campylobacterales; Campylobacteraceae.
CAUGUAGAGGUCUUUGUGGGAUUAUUUUUGGACAGGGGUUCGAUUCCCCUCGCUUCCACCA